RNAcentral lists this ribosomal RNA (425 nucleotides) under uncultured bacterium. Its description in RNAcentral is "bacterial SSU rRNA". It matches the Rfam family "Bacterial small subunit ribosomal RNA", at positions 356 to 773 of the family's 1533-position model. The record is from RNAcentral.
GGGGAAUUUUGGACAAUGGGCGCAAGCCUGAUCCAGCCAUGCCGCGUGAGUGAAGAAGGCCUUCGGGUUGUAAAGCUCUUUCGGCGGGGAAGAAAUGGCACGCUCUAACAUAGCGUGUUGAUGACGGUACCCGCAUAAGAAGCACCGGCUAACUACGUGCCAGCAGCCGCGGUAAUACGUAGGGUGCGAGCGUUAAUCGGAAUUACUGGGCGUAAAGCGUGCGCAGGCGGUUUCGUAAGACAGAGGUGAAAUCCCCGGGCUCAACCUGGGAAUGGCCUUUGUGACUGCGAGGCUAGAGUGUGACAGAGGGGGGUAGAAUUCCACGUGUAGCAGUGAAAUGCGUAGAGAUGUGGAGGAAUACCGAUGGCGAAGGCAGCCCCCUGGGUUACUACUGACGCUCAUGCACGAAAGCGUGGGGAGCAAAC